RNAcentral lists this ribosomal RNA (536 nucleotides) under uncultured bacterium. RNAcentral's name for it is "bacterial SSU rRNA". It matches the Rfam family "Bacterial small subunit ribosomal RNA", at positions 14 to 518 of the family's 1533-position model. The record is from RNAcentral.
CGAUCUGGCUCAGGAUGAACGCUGGCGGCAUGCCUAAGACAUGCAAGUCGUACGAGGUGGCCCAAUGAAAAUGGAGUGCUGCACAAAGUCGGAUUGGAUUCCACCGAGUGGCAAACGGGUGAGUAACACGUGGGUUACCUACCUCUAAGACGGGGAUACCAAUUGGAAACGAUUGUUAAUACCGGAUGUGUUCUACGGAAUAAAGAAGCCCUUAAAGCUUCGCUUAGAGAUGGGCCUGCGUCGCAUUAGCUAGUUGGUAGGGUAAUGGCCUACCAAGGCAACGAUGCGUAGCCGAACUGAGAGGUUAAUCGGCCACAUUGGGGACUGAGACACGGCCCAGACUCCUACGGGAGACAGCAGUUAGGAAUAUUCGUCAAUGGGGGACAACCCUGAACGAGCAAUGCCGCGUGAAGUGAUGAAGGUCCUUUGGAUUAGUAAAACUCUGUUGUUUAAGGAAAAAUUGUACAGAAAGGAAAUGUUCUGUAUUUGAUGGUACUAUUCAAGAAAGCCACGGCUAACUACGUGCCAGCCGCCGC